UCAACCUCUUUGCAAUCCAAACCCUGAUUUCUCUCUUUUGGGAGAAGGAAGAAAGUAUACUCUUGAUCCCCUAUCCCUAGUUCCCUCCUUCUUUCAUCCUUUUUACCAUUUCCUUGAGUGUAGAUACUGGUAAGAGAAGGUGCAAUCUCCAGAGAAUAUCAACAAAGUCACGUUGUAAAGAUGACAAGUGAAAAUGAAAGUGAGGAUGAUGAUGACGCAGACAAUGAAAAUGAUAAUGAUAGUUGAUUGGAUCAGUAAUUUACCAUUAUUUGCAAAGGGAAGGAUUCGGUUGAAGUGUGGAAAGGCUAGGAGGAGAAGAAAGGGCUACUCCUAAAAUGAUUUGGCAGAAUCAUGGAUGUGAAGGGACUUUCUAUACCUCAAAUAGGACCCAUCUUCAG
Vitis vinifera (wine grape) is the source of this 398-nucleotide long non-coding RNA. RefSeq lists it as uncharacterized. The transcript is spliced from 4 exons. The record is from RefSeq and is a predicted model, not a curated record. NCBI's taxonomy places the organism in Eukaryota, Viridiplantae, Streptophyta, Magnoliopsida, Vitales, Vitaceae.